GCAAAAUUAUAUCAGGGUGAAAUUUGAUCCGGAGGAAAAAAUGUCACAGUAGUUGUUGUUAUUUUUUUAUCCGGAGGAAAAUAUUUCCCUGGGAUAUUUUUUCCUUUGCCGUGAAAUUCUAUCUGGGUAGUUAACUUAUUGAAAAGUUAUUAGAAAAAACUUAUCCUUUAAAAAUACUAUGAAAUAAUAAUAGUGUAUUUGAAAUGAAGCGA
This 212-nucleotide long non-coding RNA is filed under the name Mytilus galloprovincialis (Mediterranean mussel). The record is from RNAcentral. Lineage: Eukaryota; Metazoa; Mollusca; Bivalvia; Mytilida; Mytilidae.